UACAGAGGGUGCGAACGUUGUUCGGAUUUACUGGGCGUAAAGCGCGUGUAGGCGGUCUCGCAAGUCGGAUGUGAAAGCCCAGGGCUCAACCCUGGAAGUGCACUCGAUACUGCGAGGCUAGAGUCCCGGAGAGGAUGGUGGAACUCUCGGUGUAGAGGUGAAAUUCGUAGAUAUCGAGAAGAACACCAGUGGCGAAGGCGACACACUGGCCCGUUACUGACGCUGAGGCGCGAAAGCGUGGGGAGCAAACAGG
Molecule: ribosomal RNA, 253 nt
Filed under: uncultured bacterium
Lineage: Bacteria
Description: partial 16S ribosomal RNA
Rfam family: Bacterial small subunit ribosomal RNA
Source: RNAcentral